RNA transcript from Sarcophilus harrisii (Tasmanian devil), 7402 nucleotides. RefSeq lists it as uncharacterized. Lineage: Eukaryota; Metazoa; Chordata; Mammalia; Dasyuromorphia; Dasyuridae. The transcript is spliced from 3 exons. The record is from RefSeq and is a predicted model, not a curated record.
AUGGGGAUAAAAAUAGUUCCUACCUCCUGGGUUUGUUAGGAGGAUCAAGUGAGAUAGAAUUUGUAAAAAGCACAUUUAUAUAGCAUAUGGUAGGUGCUAUAUAAGUGCUUAUUCCUUCCUUCCAAUUCUCCAAUAUUUUGAAGUCUCGUAUUUCCCUGAAGAUACAUUUUUACUUCUCCUCCAUCUUCUUCACCAUUUAUAUAUAAGGGAAAUACACAUAUGUUUUAGGAAAUUUCCAUAUUUAAUAAGUUAGACAUUUCUAUAUUUAAUAAGUUAGAAAAUCAAAUGUAAAACACUGGUUAGCAAACAUGAAAGGGACUAUGAUAGCUAGGAUUUCUUUUCAUUGUAAAGAAUGAAUUGUAGGCAGUCAUGUUCUGGGAAAUGCUUAACAAUGGGUUCUCUAGGGGGGAAAAGUACCCACUGUACAUUUUAAAAUUGAAUCUGUAUUAUUAAUUUUUUUUUUUGCUAUUGCUUUCUUCAAGGUAGAAAUUGACAAAACAAUCAACAAAAUAAUAAGCCAAACUCUGACUUGUAUCUUUUGCUGAUCUCUGAGGUGUAAAUGCUCACACUGAAAAUUUAACAUCUGGCUCCAUUUGGUUCCAGUACCCUCUUGAUUGGAGUUGUUUACUGAAUGGGAGGAACUGAAUAAGAACCCUAAUGCUGACUUUUGCUGAUUUUCAAGCUGUGACUUUUGUCAGCCCUCUUUUCUUCCUACUCAUGCAUUUUAUCACUUAUACCAAAAUUAUAUCAGGUCACUUUCAUGAACAUGCACACUUAGAUCAUGAAUAUCUAUAUGUGUAUACUCAAUGAGAGGCAGCAUGAUAUAGUGCUUAGAGGACUGACAUUAGAGUUAGGAAGGACCUGGAUUCAAAUCCGCCAUUUAACACUCCUUGGCUGUAUUACUAAUCACUUAAUCUCCCAAUGCUCUGGGGCAAUUCUCCGAGUCUGUGAAUUACAGAUAAAUUAUUGCAUCAUAGGAAGGAGUUUCCAUGCUGGGAGUUCUCUAUCCCAGUGGAAUCACAUGUCCUCUUUUCCCCACCUCCCAAUUGUCAUAGAAUGUACAUCCGUACAUGUAUUUUUACAUUGAAACCAUCACCCACAUAUAAGAAAAUCAGCAGAAACGAACGUUUAACAGGAAUAUAAUUCUCUUAGAGUCUUUGCUUUGGCUUGUCAUUCCUGCACAUGGGGAUGUAGAAUUCAAAGAGGAAGGAGGAUAGUAUAAACACAUGGGAAAAGCUCAGUUUUCCAUCCAGGAGGAAUUUGCCAAAGCAGGAUGUCUCACUCACAUGCUGAAAACAGGAGCAUGUCUUUUCUCACAACCUGCAAACCAGCUAGCUGAAAGAUUGACAGCUGGCCAAAAGAACGCACACCUCGUUCUUCGAUCUAGGCUGCCAGUGUUUUAAUCACAGUCCUGGUGAUGAGCGGCCUGGGAGGGCUCGCCUUUCACACACUAACUCAAACAAACACAGCAGAAUGUCUCCGCUGCUCUCCAAGCCCUUUCCUGCUUUAGCAUUCCUGAUGUACUCCCUAUGCGCUGCAUACUUUAAAAACUCAACCAACAUGCUAGGCUUUGUGUCAUCUUACAUCACUUCUCCUUAUAAAUAGCCUUUGGGAAUGGCAGGGGAAUGUUACCACUAAUCACGGAGGCGUUUGGAAGGCUUUGGUCUCAGCAAAUAAGUACUCUACUGAAUGAACGCGUUACAGAACUACAGAGAAAGUCCGAAUUGUAGAAGCCCUUUGACUUGCUGGAUAUCAAAGUUAGGCAGCCUAUUUUUCAGAAAGAAGCCUAGGACUUCUUCCCAUGCAAUUUUUUUUCCUACUUAGGGGCAGAUUUAUUGAAAGCUGGCAUCAAUUAAUACAGAUGCCUGUGUUCACAGCAAAGAGGCAAGGGAACCGAAGUAAGCACUCACCAAAUGACCCGCGUAGCUGCAUACAGUAUGUCUUUCUUUUUGUCCCUGGCAAGGAAGUCGCUGCCUCUUUAUCAUGCACCCAGGGAGCUUCAAUGCUAAAAAGGCAUCAGAACUAGGAGAGAAGUUUGUUGUGCUCAGAGAUGCCAAAUAUGAAUAUUCAAUUAACAAGAACAACGGCAAAAAAAAAAAAAAAAAAAUUACAGAAGUCAUAGUGUGUAAAUUAAGGAUGCCUGGGAGCAAUUACUCUGGAUGGCAAAGCCAGUUCGACAUUAAAAAUACCCUGUAUUUCUUUGUUUUCAACUCAUGAACAAAUAAACGCUAAAAAUGUGUUUAUCUGUUCUAACAGAGAAAACAAACAAUUUCCAUAAUGCAUAUAUUAAGAGAGAAUGCAUAGCUAUUUCCUAUCACUGGAGGCAGGGAAAUUUGGUAAAGGGUGAAAGGAGUAAGAGUAGAGAAGUAAGUACUUGACCAAAAGCUAUCCUGGCACAGUGUGAUCUUUCAAAGGCCAGAGCAUGCCAUGUCCCACAUACUGAUUUUUUGAAUAGACCUCUUGCCAAGAUAAAUUCUCUCCGGACUCUAGAAUUUAUAGGAUGUGCUUAGCUUGCAUUAAGAACCCAGCAGUUUCUUCCCUUCACAAACAAGUCUUCUUGAGCAAGGCAAGACAUAAAUGGAAAAGAUGCUUUGCUAAUUAUUUACAUAAAGACACAGAGAGAUGCAAUCUGGCUCUUGUGUUUAUUUCAUAUUAUUGCUUGGCCUACGAGUCAAUGAUGGAAGUGAACAUUUUCGUUCUGUUUGUCUCCCUUGACUUUGUUAACUUUCAGGACUACCCAGCAAGUUCUUUGAAAAAAAAAUUGGAAAGCAGCCUGGGAAAGGGUUUUAGCCAUGACUGGCAUGAAGAAGGAAUUGCCCUGGAGCCUACACAUUGGAUAAGGCCUGGGAUUUCACCUGAAGUGUGAGUGUGCUUCAGUAAGAGAAACAGCAUUAAGAGAGAUAUCAGUGGAAAAAAAAGAAUUAAUGGGAAAUCUAGCUUCGUUUUAUCAUGUGAGCUUUUGUCACUGUUUUACUGACCUAUAUCAAGUGAGGAUUACAGAGAUUAGUGAAAGGAAUACUUAAUAGCUCAACUGUGGAUUCCAAAGAGGAUUAUCUCUUAAGAUAUUUUAUGUAUCCCAAUACUUUGUUCCUCCUUCUACAGGGCUGAUUAACUCAACUCUGAUGAUAGCAUCCUUUUCUACAGUAGGAUAUGCCACUGGUGUGGUGGUAUCUGUGUAUAUACUAACAGAGUGGAAUGGAGAAUUAUAUGCAUUAGACAAAUUUGAUUCACAGAAAUAUUCUGUGACUGAUUAUGUAACUCCCAAAGUAAUUCAGGGAAGUCCAAAAAUCUUAACAAGGAAGGAAGAUUUCACUAACAACCUCAUCUUUUCCCUUAAUAGCAGGUUCCUUUUAUCAUUCCCCUCUGUUACAAUGAUCUCUAUAGCGAUACAAUUAUACACCUCUUUCUUAAAACUAUCUAUAUUUUAAGUUUUCUACUUCACCUAGUAUAAACACGGUUCUUAGUUAACUCUUCAGAAAAGGUUGAGAAUUCAGGUCAGUUAUUGAAUGGAAGAAUUUUGGACACGAAAUAAAUUUUCUCCAAAAAAAAUUUUCAGUCUCUUCUGUGGGUGGCAACAAGCCUUCUUCACAUUAAUUAAAUAUGUCAACAUGUUCCGUGAAAUAAUUUAAACUUUAUUGAAGGCUUUCAUUUCCCAUAGCCAUUAUAGAACUUGAAAGCACAUGAGCAAUCUGAUACCAAUAAGCUUUUCCCAUAUAUUAUUAUGUUGUUUGUUCUCUCCCAGUAGCUAAUAUGGUUACAUUUUGAUCUAUACUUAUUCACAAAUCUUGUAGAAGUUUGUAGCAGUGACAAGAUUAGCACUCUUGAACAACACUGGCCUUUGAAGAAGCCAUUUAUUGAGAUAUUAGAAUAGUUCAUCCUGCCUAAUGUGACAAUAAGUUAACAACUUAAUAUGUUUCAUAUGACCUAUUCACAAUUCUAUUUUGGCAUAACUAUCAUGUAUAUUCAUAAAUAAUAUUAUUCUGGUUUCUUUUGAAGUUUUGCUUAUAAGUUUAAAUAUUACCAUUUGUGAAUAUUUUUUAUGGAAGAUAUAAGGAAGACUGACACAAAACUUCCUAAUUCUCUAUUUUUAUGCCACAAAAUCAUGCUUAUGGUUUCAGGUAACUUUUUUUUUUAAAGCUUAUCCAUGAUUAAUUGUUAUAUUAUUAAAUUAAGUAAUUAUGAUUAUAAAAAGUAUUAGGGAUUUACUAGGAAAUGUAUUAUUUAUAUAAUACCUUGCAGUUUCAAAACAUGGAUUUUUACAUCCACUCUAUCAUUGAAACUUCACUCAUGAUUCUAUAAGAUUGAUGGUCCAUCUCUAUUUUAUAGUUGAGGGAAUUGGAUUUAGUUAAGUGAUCCACUCAAAGUUAUGCAAGUCAUCAGAGGGGGAGCUGAGAAUAGAACCUAGAUUCCUCUGACUUCAGGGUUUAAAAAAAUGACAUGUAUAUGUAUAUAAUAUUAUACCACAUCUUUACCUCAUAUACUGUAUUGCUUUCUUGUGACUUAUUUGAUAAAUCUUUAAGCUCCCUCUGCCAAAGGACUAUGACUGAACACUUACCUUUCUCUCAAACCCUUUGUUGACUAAGCAGGGCAAAUGUGAAUGGAAGGAUAGAAGAAGAAAUCCCAACAGCUUUCUCCAGUCUUCCAAGUGGGCCUUCACAUAUGGCUUCAUUAUUUCAUUUUAAAAAGCAUUGUGAAUUCACAGCUGCCAGAGAAAUCCCAUAUAGAAAUAUGAGGAAGCUCAUACCCAGAGAGGAUGAUUUGCCUAAAGUCAUGUUUCUAGGAAAUGAAUGAGCUUGGAUUGGAAAUCAGGUCUUCUGACUUUACAACCAUUGGUCAUUUUGAUAUAACAGACCUGAGUUAGAGUUUCUUCAAUUCUAAGCCCCUAUACUCUCAAGUUACUAAUAACUGUAUUUAUUUAGAUAUAAAUGAAAUACCUGUUUUAUUUUUCCUGUAUAGACAUGCCCAUGCUGAUAACCACAUAUUGUAUUUUAUCACUUGUGAAUGAUUUUGAAAAACUAAAUGAACAUGUUUGACAACUCCAGUUGUCUGGAAAGUUUUUUAAAGACAAUCUAAAGGAAUCAGAUGAAUAUGUCAUCAAAGAGCAAUGAGAUGGAUUCCCAGGAUUCUAGCUAUAGGAGAAUGAAUUUAUAGCAAAACUCUUUUUCUAUAGUGUAUUUGGUUCAAUAUUACUCUGCAAAAAGCUAUAUUAUAUACAUUUCUAAAGUACUGUACUUUAUUUAAGCAAUGAUGAGAGAGGAAACAUGUCACGUUUCAGUUUCCUUUCCCUUGUUAGCAUAUUAGGAUGCAAAAAAUCCAAUAAAAUUUAGUGCAAUAUUUACCUUAUAUUUUUAUAUUAAUUCUUAUAAUACUGAAUUCAAUGUAAUAUUGUUUUACUCAUUGAAAAAUGAGUCAAGUCAAUAAAUAAUCAUUAUUUAAGAAACAUGUAUUAAGCAUCUACUAUUUUUCAGGGAAUUGUGCUGGAGGCAAAAACAUGGUCCCUGCCCUCAAAGAAUUUACUUUCUAAAGGGGAGUCAAAAUGCAAACAAUCAUAUUUAUACAAGAUAGGUGCAAGGUAAAGGCAAAAUGCUUUUUUUCUUUUAAAGGAACAUCGUAUUCUAUCCCAUUUCCCAAUAAUUUAAAAUAUUUUACCUGAGGUUCUUUUAGUGACCAAUGUUUAACACACCUAUGUCAAGACGAAUCAGUCAACCGCAGGAGUGGAGCAAAGAAAAUUUGUCUAUAGAGAAAUUAACCCAAUGAUAACUGAGUUAAUCACCCAUAGCCUAAAUUUGUCUUCCAAGUUGUUCUUCCAUUAGGUCAGAAUUUGACUUUGUGGCUGCAUUUCCUAAGUGGGGAAGAAACAGGAACAAAAGGUGGACGCUGAAAAAGAAGAAAAUUUAGGCUUACCAUGAGGAGAUAAAACCCCACCUUUCUAACAAUUAGAACUGUUCAGACCUGUAAUAGAUAGCCUUGGGAUAGAGUAGCAUUUGUUUUAUAUGAGAUCUUCCAUCAAAUAUGAAAUGACUACUUGUCUGAUACAUUCAGAAGCAGAUAUUUUUUCAGAUAUGGAGUAGACUAAAUGUAUGAUGUCUAUUUGAGAUCUGAAAUUGAAGUACAGAAAAAAAUACCUGAAUUAAUCUAUUGUAUGUAUUUUAAAAACUAUAUGUUAUAUGUAUGCCUAUAAUUUAACAUGGUAAUACUGUUUUGUCCCACAUGUCUGUAUUAUUUUCUGAACUUUUAUUCUUUUCUUUCUAUUUUUAGUUUCACUGGGACUCUACUUCUUUUUUGUAUUACAAUCAUUACCUCCUGCUCUCCCUCCAACAUUUCUGCUGCUCUACCACGAAUGCAAUUUUGUGACAAAUCAGUAUGGUUAAGUAAAACAAAAUUGGUGGUAUGUUGUUCAUACCUGAAAAUGCAUGUCUCAUUUUAUUCUCACAAUCCAUAAUCUCCCAUGACUUAAGUUACAUUCUUCCCCAUUAGUCUUCUGUAGUUGUAUUUGGCCAGUUAUUGUAUUUGUUCUGAGUUCUUAAGUCAUUUAAACUUGUUUAAAUUUACACUGGUGUAAUCAUUGCAUAGCCUCCUGGUUCUGCUCAUUUCAUUCUUUAUCAAUUCAAAUAAGUCUUCUAAGGUCUCUGAAUCUGUUUAUUUAAUAAUUUCUUGAUACAAAUCCAAUAUAAUUCUAUCAUUUUAAAAUAUGACCUUUUGAAACAUUUUAUUUAAUAUUUUGCAUUGCUAUUCACUAUGGAAAUGAUUAUGCUUAGGUCUGAAAAGGAAGCACAUUGAAGUGAGCAAUUAUUUUGUUUUUUGCUGACUCUUUUUGCAGUGUGAUUAACUUUUCAUCAAAGAACUUAGAUGCUGUGCCAUUUGGUCCAUAUACAUUAAAUAUUGAUACUAUUUUAUUAUCGAUGGUUCCUUUAAGGAUAAUAUAGUUUUUAUGUUGGGUUCUGAGAGAGUGAGGCUAAUGACUUUGUAUAGCUCUACUUCACUUAAAUCCAAUUUGUGUGAAAGUCAAGAUAUCUUUUGUGAUGUCAUUGUUCCACUUUGAGAACAAAGUACAAAUAACAUGUUUUUCCUGCUUUUCCUUUUUAACAAAGACUGUUUAUUUUUUACUAUUGUCUUGUCUAAGAUCAUGAUAAUUCCCCCCCUUUUUUGAAUUUGCCCAGAGAAUAAUAAAUUAUGCCCCAGCCUUUCAUUUAACUCUUUGUGAAUAUGUUGCAAAUGUAUUUUUCAUAAACAACAAAUUACUGGAGUCUUCUUUCUAAUUUAUUGUCCUACAUUUCUCUGUUUUAUGGAUCAGUUUAUCCCAUUUGUAUUCACUUUUAUAGUUUUUAAUUGUGUAUUUUCCUCCAUUAUGAUUUCUUAUACUCUUUCCUCUUUAUUAUCUACCAUUUCUUUCCCCAAAAGA